AUGCCAUUUUUUGGGCUUAUUUCCUUUCUAUUUUUCUUUCUUUUGGGUGAAAUAUUGUUGUCGAAUUUAAUAACCUUGGAAAAUAAUUUCUAAGCAUGGAGAGGUUACCAAUCAAUUCAUAAUGCUUAAAUGAAUUAAUUAUGUUGACAUUUUCAUAAGCACUCCUCUUGAUUUGCCAUUAAUCUGUGGCUGACAUUCAAUCAUAAGUUUGUUCAACUUCUUGUUGCUA
RNAcentral lists this unclassified non-coding RNA (229 nucleotides) under Hevea brasiliensis (rubber tree). The record is from RNAcentral. Lineage: Eukaryota; Viridiplantae; Streptophyta; Magnoliopsida; Malpighiales; Euphorbiaceae.